Molecule: ribosomal RNA, 505 nt
Filed under: uncultured bacterium
Lineage: Bacteria
Description: bacterial SSU rRNA
Rfam family: Bacterial small subunit ribosomal RNA
Source: RNAcentral
AUUGAACGCUGGCGGAAUGCUUUACACAUGCAAGUCGAACGGCAGCACGGGGCAACCUGGUGGCGAGUGGCGAACGGGUGAGUAAUACAUCGGAACGUGCCCAAUCGUGGGGGGAUAACGUAGCGAAAGUUACGCUAAUACCGCAUACGAUCUACGGAUGAAAGCGGGGGAUCGCAAGACCUCGCGCGAGUGGAGCGGCCGAUGUCAGAUUAGGUAGUUGGUGGGGUAAAGGCUCACCAAGCCAACGAUCUGUAGCUGGUCUGAGAGGACGACCAGCCACACUGGAACUGAGACACGGUCCAGACUCCUACGGGAGGCAGCAGUGGGGAAUUUUGGACAAUGGGCGCAAGCCUGAUCCAGCCAUUCCGCGUGCAGGAUGAAGGCCUUCGGUUGUAACUAGCUUUUGUUACGGUAACGAACGGACGAGCUCUAAUACAGUUUGUCUAAUGACGGUACCGUAAGGAAUAAGACACCGGCUAACUAACGUGCCAGCAGCCGCGGUAAA